Molecule: ribosomal RNA, 253 nt
Filed under: uncultured bacterium
Lineage: Bacteria
Description: partial 16S ribosomal RNA
Rfam family: Bacterial small subunit ribosomal RNA
Source: RNAcentral
GACGAACCGUGCGAACGUUAUUCGGAAUCACUGGGCUUAAAGGGCGCGUAGGCGGGCCCGUCAGUCAGGGGUGAAAUCCCACGGCCCAACCGUGGAAGUGCCUCUGAUACUGCGGGCCUCGAGGGGGAUAGGGGCGUGCGGAACUCAGGGUGGAGCGGUGAAAUGCGUAGAUAUCCUGAGGAACACCGGUGGCGAAAGCGGCGCGCUGGAUCCCUUCUGACGCUGAGGCGCGAAAGCCAGGGGAGCAAACGGG